GACGAACGCUGGCGGCGUGCCUAAUACAUGCAAGUCGAACGAACCGCGACUAGGUGCUUGCACUUGGUCAAGGUGAGUGGCGAACGGGUGAGUAACACGUGGGUAACCUACCUCAUAGUGGGGGAUAACAGUCGGAAACGACUGCUAAUACCGCAUAGGACAUAGGAUCACAUGAUCCAGUGAGGAAAGGUGGCGCAAGCUAUCGCUAAGAGAUGGACCCGCGGUGCAUUAGCUAGUUGGUAGGGUAAAGGCCUACCAAGGCGAUGAUGCAUAGCCGACCUGAGAGGGUGAUCGGCCACAUUGGGACUGAGACACGGCCCAAACUCCUACGGGAGGCAGCAGUAGGGAAUCUUCCGCAAUGGACGAAAGUCUGACGGAGCAACGCCGCGUGAGUGAAGAAGGUCUUCGGAUCGUAAAGCUCUGUUGUUAGAGAAGAACAGAGCAUAGAGUAACUGUUAUGCGUGUGACGGUACCUAACCAGAAAGCCACGGCUAACUACGUG
RNAcentral lists this ribosomal RNA (502 nucleotides) under uncultured bacterium. RNAcentral describes it as "partial 16S ribosomal RNA". It matches the Rfam family "Bacterial small subunit ribosomal RNA", at positions 28 to 507 of the family's 1533-position model. The record is from RNAcentral.